GACGAACGCUGGCGGCGUGCUUAACACAUGCAAGUCGAACGGAAAGGCCCUGCUUUUGUGGGGUGCUCGAGUGGCGAACGGGUGAGUAACACGUGAGUAACCUGCCCUUGACUGUGGGAUAACUUCAGGAAACUGGGGCUAAUACCGGAUAGGAGCUCCUGCUGCAUGGUGGGGGUUGGAAAGUUUCGGCGGUUGGGGAUGGACUCGCGGCUUAUCAGCUUGUUGGUGGGGUAGUGGCUUACCAAGGCUUUGACGGGUAGCCGGCCUGAGAGGGUGACCGGCCACAUUGGGACUGCGAUACGGCCCAGACGCCUACGGGAGGCAGCAGUGGGGAAUUUUGCACAAUGGGCGGAAGCCUGAUGCAGCAACGCCGCGUGCGGGAUGCCGGCCUUCGGGUUGUAAACCGCUUUCGCCUGUGACGAAGCGUGAGUGACGGUAAUGGGUAAAGAAGCACCGGCUAACUACGUG
RNAcentral lists this ribosomal RNA (468 nucleotides) under uncultured bacterium. RNAcentral describes it as "partial 16S ribosomal RNA". It matches the Rfam family "Bacterial small subunit ribosomal RNA", at positions 28 to 507 of the family's 1533-position model. The record is from RNAcentral.